Molecule: ribosomal RNA, 713 nt
Filed under: Clostridioides difficile
Lineage: Bacteria; Bacillati; Bacillota; Clostridia; Peptostreptococcales; Peptostreptococcaceae
Description: partial 23S ribosomal RNA
Rfam family: Bacterial large subunit ribosomal RNA
Source: RNAcentral
CUAAGCACACUGUUGGUUAUGUGUGCCCAAGCAUUGAGGCAGUCAAAGUAGGCAAAUCCGCUUUGAUAAUGCUGGGAUGUGAUGGGGAGCGAAAUUUAGUAGCGAAGUAGCUGAUUUCACACUGUCAAGAAAAGUCUCUAUCGAGGUUAAAGGUACCCGUACCGCAAACCGACACAGGUGGGUGAGGAGAGUAUCCUAAGGCCAGCGAGAGAACUGUUGUUAAGGAACUCGGCAAAAUGACCCCGUAACUUAGGGAUAAGGGGUGCCACCAUCAGGUGGCCGCAGAGAAUAGGCCCAAGCGACUGUUUACCAAAAACAUAGGUUUCUGCUAAGUCGCAAGACGAUGUAUAGGAGCUGACGCCUGCCCGGUGCUGGAAGGUUAAGGGGAUCUGUUAGAGCAAUCGAAGCAGUGAACUUAAGCCCCAGUAAACGGCGGCCGUAACUAUAACGGUCCUAAGGUAGCGAAAUUCCUUGUCGGGUAAGUUCCGACCCGCACGAAAGGCGUAACGAUUUGGGCACUGUCUCAACAACAGACUCGGUGAAAUUGUAAUUCCGGUGAAGAUGCCGGAUACCUGCGACAGGACGGAAAGACCCCAUGGAGCUUUACUGUAGCUUGACAUUGGGUCUUGGUACUACAUGUACAGGAUAGGUGGGAGGCUUUGAAACCAGGACGCCAGUUUUGGCGGAGCCAUCCUUGGGAUACCACCCUUGUA